This is a non-coding RNA of Potamilus streckersoni, 74 nucleotides long. The record is from the annotation of a GenBank genome assembly. Lineage: Eukaryota; Metazoa; Mollusca; Bivalvia; Unionida; Unionidae.
GGCGGGGUAGCUCAGGCGGUUAGAGCGUAGGAUUCAUAACCCUAAGGUCGGGGGUUCAACUCCCCCCCCCGUCA